This 253-nucleotide ribosomal RNA is filed under the name uncultured bacterium. RNAcentral's name for it is "partial 16S ribosomal RNA". It matches the Rfam family "Bacterial small subunit ribosomal RNA", at positions 524 to 776 of the family's 1533-position model. The record is from RNAcentral.
UACGGAGGGUGCAAGCGUUAUCCGGAUUUACUGGGCGUAAAGGGCGCGUAGGCGGCGUGUCAAGUCAGGCGUGAAAGCCCCGGGCUCAACCUGGGAACCGCGCUUGAGACUGGCAUGCUCGAGUUCGGGAGAGGAUGGUGGAAUUCCCAGUGUAGAGGUGAAAUUCGUAGAUAUUAGGAAGAACACCGGUGGCGAAGGCGGCCCACUGGUCCGGUACUGACACUGAGGUGCGAAAGCGUGGGGAGCAAACAGG